This 354-nucleotide ribosomal RNA is filed under the name uncultured bacterium. RNAcentral describes it as "bacterial SSU rRNA". It matches the Rfam family "Bacterial small subunit ribosomal RNA", at positions 8 to 353 of the family's 1533-position model. The record is from RNAcentral.
AGAGUUUGAUCCUGGCUCAGGACGAACGCUGGCGGCAUGCCUAACACAUGCAAGUCGAACGGAGAUAUUUGGAAGCUUGCUUUUGGAUAUCUUAGUGGCGGACGGGCGAGUAACGCGUGAGCAACCUGGCCUUCAGUGUGGAACAACGUCUGGAAACGGGCGCUAAUACCGCAUGACGCAGUGGAAUCGCAUGGUUCUGCUGUCAAAGGAGCAAUCCGCUGAAGGAUGGGCUCGCGUCCGAUUAGCUAGAUGGUGAGGUAAGGGCUCACCAUGGCGAUGAUCGGUAGCCGAACUGAGAGGUUGAUCGGCCGCAUUGGGACUGAGACACGGCCCAGACUCCUACGGGAGGCAGCA